GGCCUCGUAGCUCAGUUGUCAGAACGUGCGCUGUAUAAAAGUGUAGGUGGCGUCCAUGCGUAGGUUCAAAUCCCACCGAGGCUA
Molecule: transfer RNA, 84 nt
Filed under: Echinostoma caproni
Lineage: Eukaryota; Metazoa; Platyhelminthes; Trematoda; Plagiorchiida; Echinostomatidae
Rfam family: tRNA
About the family: Transfer RNA (tRNA) molecules are approximately 80 nucleotides in length. Their secondary structure includes four short double-helical elements and three loops (D, anti-codon, and T loops).
Source: Rfam by way of RNAcentral